UCCGGUUUGUCACCGGCAGUCUCAUUAGAGUGCCCUUUCGUAGCAACUAAUGACAAGGGUUGCGCUCGUUGCGGGACUUAACCCAACAUCUCACGACACGAGCUGACGACAGCCAUGCAACACCUGUGUGGGAGCCAGCCAAACUGAAGGAUUUCCUUUCGGAGAUCCACACUCCCCAUGUCAAGGCCUGGUAAGGUUCUUCGCGUUGCCUCGAAUUGAACCACAUGCUCCACCGCUUGUGCGGGUCCCCGUCAAUUCCUUUGAGUUUUAAUCUUGCGACCGUACUCCCCAGGCGGAGUGCUUAAUGCGUUAGCGACGCCACUGAGCCUUACGGCCCAACAGCUAGCACUCAUCGUUUAGGGCGUGGACUAC
Molecule: unclassified non-coding RNA, 372 nt
Filed under: uncultured Pseudomonadota bacterium
Lineage: Bacteria; Pseudomonadati; Pseudomonadota
Description: uncultured proteobacterium contains 16S-23S intergenic spacer region
Source: RNAcentral